UGUGUUGUACCAUGAUCGUGACUACGCCAGGUUCUUCAUGCUCGAGACCAUCGCCAGAGUGCCGUAUUUCGGUGAGGGUCUCAUCUUACUCAUUGAAUUUUGCCAACAGUUGUAAAUUAACUUAUUACAUGUUGGACAUGGGCAUGCUAUCUUAGAUUUUGAGAUUGACCAAAUACUGAAUUAAAACAUAGCUAGAGGAAAACAAUUGCUCCUGAUACUUCAUAUCUGCAUAAUAUUGUUGAUUAAAUUCAGUUGGACUUGAAAGAAUUCCAGUUUCCAUUUGAGCUUCUUUUCUAGAUUACUUCAUCAUUGUGUUUUCUGUUUGAUAGGUUAGUUUUUUUAACCAAAAUUCACUUUUCAUUAGGAUACUGGAACGUUAAAUCCUGCAUUACAUUACUUAGUACUCCCAUCUUUAGGUGCUCCUAUUGUUCUUAUCUUUGGCAAUGCAAGGGGUAUUUCAUGGACUUAAAGAUACAAGGAUGCCUCUAUGGAGGUGUUUGGUUUUGGUGGUGGUAACGCAGGUAAAUGGAUCACGGUGGGAUCUUGGAUGUAAUGGACCAUUCGUUGCUCUGUUUGGUUUGGACCAGUAAAGGAUCACAUUAGGUGUAGGUACUUGAUUUGGAAGCAGAGGAGAAACGAUGGUUAUGCCAUGGGGAUCCAGAGAAGAAGACUACCUCAAACAACAGGGGGUGUACAUCUCUAGGCUGUACGCCACCGGCGUCGCCGCUCACGAUAGGUAGGCGAUAGGAUCGAGAUCUGCGGCAGACGCGAUCUGGGCUGGGAGGCUUCGCUUGACUCGACUAGCUCUGGUAACGCGUUUCAUUUAUGGUGGGGAUAGUCCGAUAUCGGAUUUGAGCUAUGGUAGGACUUGUUAAUGCAGAACCUGUUUACGUGCAAAUUGAACCAAACAAACGUAACGGUAUGUAAUAAUGAUGUAAUCGGAUAACGGGCAGAAUAGUCCGAACCAAACACCAUAUGUAACUCGUAUAGUAAUAUUUCCUUUCUUGGAUAGCACUAUCUUUCUUCUCUCUCUUUCCACUUAUUUAGGACAACAUGGUCUUACACAUCUUUACCAUUUUAAUUAUGUCUCCAGAAACUCAAUAAAAUUUGAUAAUCUGGUAAGUUUUGUUUUUAUUAUUCUAAAGGUCUGCACGCAUUAUCUGAGAAGCAACGUAUAAAGCCAUGUUUUUCUUCUUAUGUUCAUAUUUUUACAUCUACACCACUUACUGUAAGCAACACACCAAGCACUCCAUGAGCAUAGAACAAAAAUGAAUAUAUAGGAUUUAGUCAAUACAAAAAACUGAUGUUUUUUGUGUUCUUUAGCGUGCAGUUUAGCAACUGUGCACUAAUAGCUAUUUGUUCGAGAACGGCAUAAGGAAGGUAUACAAUUUAUUUCCAGAUUUUGAUGCAUAGAUUAAUAGACCAUCCACCUUAGUUAUUUUCAUACUUGCAUCAUUUAGUGUGUACCUUAGUUUGUUGUAGUUGUGCCUACUAAUCAAGCUGCCGUAGUUGUUAACAUGUUGAUUCGACAGUGUAGGAAUUCAUCAUGGUUUGGGUAUAUCAUUAGCAUUGUGAUUGGAAACAUCAAGUAUUCAGAUCAGAUACAAAAACAUACAGAGAUAAUUAAAUUUCUUUUUGCUAGAUGUUUCUUUUAGAGUGCAUAUAAGAAUACCAUGAUUAUUUUGUGUAGCAAUCCAAGCCAGCGUUUCCCAGCAGGUUUGGUGCUUUUCAAGCUGUCAACAAUUAUUGUGGUUGACCAUGGGAAGGAAGCUUUUACCACUUGUGGAGAUUUCGGACCGAGUGAAGAAGGUAUACAGUCUCCUAACUUCACAACAUUUUGGUUCAGUCAUUAAUUUAUGUACAAACUAAUAUGCAAUCUCUACUGGUUGCUUCUGGGAAUCCAGACUUCCCUUUACCCAUGGAUUAUUCUUUCAUGUGCUUCUCUAUGCUGAGGUCAGCCGGUUCUGAUGUGCCGAAAAGGAGAGCAAGGGCACGGCAGUGCCUCCUUCCUAUCUUCGUGCAGGUAACCUCACUCGUCUCUCUUAAAUUUUACAAUGGGCAAAUCGUUCCUGCAGCAUGGAGCUCUAGAGUACUUAGUCUAGAUUCAACUGAGUUGCAAGUGUACCUCUGUCCAGUUAUUGAUACAUUUUCUGGUAAGUUUUAGACUUGCUAUCCUGUGUUAAUUUAAGGGCUGGCUAAAUUUUGUUUCCUUCAUGUUGCUCAUGUAGGGAGGGGUGGCGAUCUGUCUAUGAAGUUUUAGAGGUAAAUCAGGAAUAAUUUUUUUUGUGAUUCAUAGGCCAUAGUUCAGUGUCCGUGCAGUAAAUGUUGUGAGAAAUGCAACAUUUCUCUUACCAUGUUUUGGGUAAAUAUUUCAUUGGAAAGGAUUGUGCUACUAUGUACCAUAACUAUUGGAUGCAACUUUUUGCCGCAAAUAUCUUCUCGAUUUAAUUUGCACCAUUACUCUAAAUGCUUCUUCAAGUCAUGUACAGUAUCUUUGAAAUUUGUGUGUGAACUCCCAUUCCCAUUUCUCAGAGGUGUUGUAAUGAUCUGAAUGAAAGCCUUUUUAUUUGCAAGUGACAGACUACACCUUGAUACAUAUAGUUAGAAUGCACUAACCUAUUCUGCUGAUAUUGUAGCAUGUUCAUUUGGAUCAGUGAGAUGCACAUUUUCUCCUUCCUUCUCUAAUAUGUAAUUUUGAGUGUGUUACUUUGCCUCUUCUAUUGGUAAUACAAAGGUAUUAAAACUUAAUUGAUUUGAAUUUUACAAGAUGGCAUUUCUUCUUUGAGUGCAGGGAUUCAAAGGUGACCACUACUUAGUUUUCAUGGCCAUUAAAGUCGAGUGUUGAGUGGAUACUAUGGUGAGCUUAAUCAAAUAGCUUUGCGAGGAAUAGAAAGAGCCAGUGAUUGGGCAACGCUGCAUGCGUGGCUGCUUAUUCCUUCCUAGGGGUUGCCUUGUUAAGGAAACUUUUUGCUCGCAUGCCUCUCUCUCCUAGAGGCAUCCCUCCUUCUAGAUCUCAUUGUAGCUUUCAUGUGAAAGUGGCUUGAUCAUGCGCAUAAGCAGAACACAUUCAGUUUCAUUGGUGCGUGUGGAUGACCAGUGAACUUGGAAGGAUUUCUAUUCCCAUGUGAUCUACUUGGUCUAUGCCUGAGCAUCAUUCCUAAAUAUAGCUCAUCAUGCCAUUCUUUUUGAUCCAUGACCACAUCAAUGUGGAUGUUCCUAUUAAAACAAAGGUACAUAAUUGAUAUUUUCCUGGAUUAUUAAUUCCUGGAUUUUGUUGCUCAGGUUUGUCUCCCACGAUUUCGUUUACUGUGAGAUGCUAUCGACACACACGGGCACACAUGCCUAAGAUGGUCUAAGGUUCAGUUUCUGGUCACUUCAAUGAGUUUUUUCCUCAACGAAUCUCUUUGAAUUCAUAUUGUGUACCUUUUUAUAUGGUUGUUGGUUGUAUGCCUUUAAUCUCUUUGUCGAAGGCUGUUGGCAUUAAGGUUUAGUGCUUCAUUGUUCAUCAUAGUCUCAUUCCCUCGAUAAAUAAUAAUGAGGCAAUGAAAAAUAGGUGAAACUGUACGAAAUAUGAAGAAGCGGGGGAACACGAUUCAGUUUGUCAUUGGAAAUUAGUUUCCAUGGCUAAAUUACUCAACUCUACACCAUGUUUUUUCUCGCUCAUCUUGUUUAUUUCUAUAGUAUAUUUUUCUUCAUCGGUUCCAUUAUUUCUUCAAGAACCUGCAGAUCAACUCUGUUUAGAUAUGAUUUACUCCUGAAAAGAAUGAAUUGCGUUUGUGCUUUCAGCUUAGGCAAAUCUAUACCUUGAUUUCAAAUUCUACAUUCUCCUCUUUGGAUGUCGUUUCUUUUGCUAGAUGUAAUUGCAUGCUUUUGUUCCAUGACUCUUGAGUCUGCCGCUUCGUCUGCUCUGGGAUCACACCAAUAAUGUCAUCUGCUUCUUGAUACUACUGCUGUACUGAUUAGUAUCUGGCGAGGCCUUCAAGUUCUGAUGCAACUUAGAACAUCCCUCUUGAAGAAAAAGUCACGUUGACAAUAUAAAAUUGUAACUUUGAAUUUAGGAAUCACUUACCCUCACUUGCGUGUUGAUGAAUUGGCAAGAUGGCUAGCUACCUAGCAUAUAUUACUUUCCUUUUCUUGCAAGCUCAAAGAAACAAUAAUACAAAUUACUAAUACACCCAACUGGAAGUUCUGAACAACAUUACUCUUGCAUUAUCUGGACUCUGAAAUAUGCAAUAAAAUCCAGUUACAAUGUUUAUCAUUAAAAUAUCAACCACAAUAUUGCCUUAUUAGCUGUGUGGGUAUUAGUUCUGAUAAUACUUUUUUAAAUGAAGUUUGAAUGAUCAAAAUAUUACAUUCACAAUGGGCAACCAGUGAACUACUAAACUUUGUUAUAUAAAAAUCCUACUGAAUCCUUCACUCAUUUUUAAGUAUUACAGGACAGGAUGGUGAGUAAAUGACCAUGGACCAUGGUGGGGAGGCGUGGUGUUGAGCCACUGAUGGAGGCACUACACUGUCAGGAUGUGUCUUUCGUGAUGCCAAUGAGGCAUGGCAGCAUUUGUUCUACCGGAAGGUGCUACAAUUAGGCGGUCUCUUAGUCCUUCAUCUCUAUUUUGUGUUGCUGCUUCUACUUUUGUUGUCUAAUGCAUAUAGUUGGAGGAUUUCGAUCAAAUGUCCCUAUUAGUGAAUACUGUGUUCUUAUGUAUUUCCAAGAAACUUUUUUGUUUUGACAACAAUUGGUGAGUUAGAACUAAAAGGGACCAUAUCAGAUAAUCAUUUGUAACUCUGUUAUGCAAGCCAAUUUAAAAAGUUUGUCGUAUUAUUGAUUGAUGGGUUAUAUAAUCCUCACAUUAUGGUACAGUGUGAGUGAUUUUGCAUGUGUUA
This 4881-nucleotide long non-coding RNA is filed under the name Triticum aestivum (bread wheat). Its description in RNAcentral is "long non-coding RNA (TAES_LNC005130)". The record is from RNAcentral. Lineage: Eukaryota; Viridiplantae; Streptophyta; Magnoliopsida; Poales; Poaceae.